UGGCAAUUAGCUCAGUUAGUUAGAGCGCGCUCCUGAUAAGAGCGAGGUGAUAGGUGCAAUUCCUAUAUUGCCAA
This is a non-coding RNA of Oleiphilus sp. HI0009, 74 nucleotides long. NCBI's taxonomy places the organism in Bacteria, Pseudomonadati, Pseudomonadota, Gammaproteobacteria, Oceanospirillales, Oleiphilaceae. The record is from Rfam.